UACGUAGGGUGCGAGCGUUGUCCGGAAUUACUGGGCGUAAAGAGCUCGUAGGUGGUUUGUCGCGUUGUCCGUGAAAACUCACAACUCAAUUGUGGGCGUGCGGGCGAUACGGGCAGACUGGAGUACUGCAGGGGAGACUGGAAUUCCUGGUGUAGCGGUGGAAUGCGCAGAUAUCAGGAGGAACACCGGUGGCGAAGGCGGGUCUCUGGGCCGAUACUGACGCUGAGGAGCGAAAGCGUGGGGAGCAAACAGG
This 253-nucleotide ribosomal RNA is filed under the name uncultured bacterium. RNAcentral describes it as "partial 16S ribosomal RNA". It matches the Rfam family "Bacterial small subunit ribosomal RNA", at positions 524 to 776 of the family's 1533-position model. The record is from RNAcentral.